AUCAUAAUACUUCUCAGAUCGCAUGCCUUGCGCCGGCGACGGUUUCAUUCAAAUUUCUGCCCUAUCAACUUUCGAUGGUAAGGUAUUGGCUUACCAUGGUUUCUACGGGUACGGGGGAAUUAGGGUUCGAUUCCGGAGAGUUAGCCUGAGAAACGGCUAACCCCAUCCAAGGAAGGCAGCAGGCGCGCAAAUUACCCAAUCCUGAUACAGGGAGGUAGUGACAAUAAAUACUGAUACAGGGCUCUUUUGGGUCUUGUAAUCGGAAUGAGUACAAUUUAAACCUCUUAACGAGGAACAAUUGGAGGGCAAGUCUGGUGCCAGCAGCCGCGGUAAUUCCAGCUCCAAUAGCGUAUAUUAAAGUUGUUGCAGUUAAAAAGCUCGUAGUUGAACCUUUGGCCUGGCUGGCAGGUCCGCCUCACCGCGUGCACUUGUCCGGCCGGGCCUUUUCUUCUGGAGAACCGCAUGCCCUUCACUGGGUGUGUUGGGGACCAGGACUUUUACUUUGAAAAAAUUAGAGUGUUCAAAGCAGGCCUUUGCUCGAAUAUUACAGCAUGGAAUAAUAAAAUAGGACGUGCGGUUCUAUUUUGUUGGUUUCUAGGACCGCCGUAAUGAUUAAUAGGGACAGUCGGGGGCAUCAGUAUUCAAUUGUCAGAGGUGAAAUUCUUGGAUUUAUUGAAGACUAACUACUGCGAAAGCAUUUGCCAAGGAUGUUUUCAUUAAUCAGUGAACGAAAGUUAGGGGAUCGAAGACGAUCAGAUACCGUCGUAGUCUUAACCAUAAACUAUGCCGACUAGGGAUCGGGCGGUGUUAUUAUUUUGACUCGCUCGGCACCUUACGAGAAAUCAAAGUGUUUGGGUUCUGGGGGGAGUAUGGUCGCAAGG
RNAcentral lists this ribosomal RNA (881 nucleotides) under Helminthosporium chengduense. Its description in RNAcentral is "SSU rRNA". It matches the Rfam family "Eukaryotic small subunit ribosomal RNA", at positions 250 to 1136 of the family's 1831-position model. Lineage: Eukaryota; Fungi; Ascomycota; Dothideomycetes; Pleosporales; Massarinaceae. The record is from RNAcentral.